Molecule: long non-coding RNA, 1882 nt
Organism: Cyprinus carpio carpio
Lineage: Eukaryota; Metazoa; Chordata; Actinopteri; Cypriniformes; Cyprinidae
Source: Ensembl
AGUAACUAAAUGUGUACAUAAUAUGUAACCACAGUGUAAGUACAGAUUGGUACAUAGUAUCUACAGCUCUAAUGUUUGUGUAACUACACAUAUGUAACAACCCACUGAAUGGUAUGUGUAAGUACAAAUGUGCAACAGGACAUUGGUAACAACACUUUUUGGUAAUGAAAGUACAAAUGUGUAACGAAAGUGUUACACUUUAUAUUAGAUUUAUCAUGUAAUUACUCUGAUGUUACACAGCAGCGGCCAGUAAGUUAGGCUUUACAUAGAAAUUGUGGUUGGUGUCCAGAAUGUUACACUUUAUAUUGUGGACAGUUCAUGAGGAGUUACCAUGUAAGUACACUGGUAUUACAGUGGUGCACCAACUCCUACUCAAAAUCCAACUCCUCCCACUUUACAUAUCCCUAAACCUACCCAUCUCCACCCCCUGGAUCCUAUUUCACCCCUAUACCUACCCAUCGCUGUAGAUACUAUGUACUAAUGUGUACCUACACUGUGGUUACACACUACAUACACAUUUAGUUACUAUGUAAGUACACAGGAAUUAGGGACACAAUAUAAAGUGGGACCGAAAUGAAAAAAAAAUAAAUAAAUAAAUAAAUAAAUAAAUAAAAUAAGUAAUGUGUAAUAAAAUGGAAUGACACAAGGAAAAAGUAUUAAACUACUGAAAUGUAAUAUGUCAUACAAAAGCCUUUGUUGGUAAUGACAGCUUCAAGACGCCUCCUGUAUGGAGAAACUAGUCACAUGCAUUGCUCAGGUGUGAUUUUGGCCCAUUCUUCCACAGUCUUCAAAUCUUGAAGGUUCUGUGGGCCUCUUCUAUGAACUCUGAUCUGUAGUUCUUCUUUUCUAUUGGAUUCAAGUCAGGUGAUUGGCUGGCCAUUCUAGCAGCUUAAUUUUCUUUUUCUGAAACCAAUUGAGAGUUUUCUUGGCUGUUUUUGGGAUCAUUGUCUUGCUGAAAUGUCCACCCGUGUAUCAUCUUCUUCAUCCUGGUACUGUACAGUAGGUGUUGGGACUAAACCAGCUAAUAUUAAUUUCCAUUGACAAGGGAUUGACAGUAUUGUUUUCUAAUUACUGAUAGAUUUGGCUUUCCAUGCCUUUUUGCACCUCCCUUUCUUCAUGUGUUCAAUACUUUUUCUCUAGGGUCAUCCCAUUUUAUUACACACGACAAUUUCAGAAAUUAUUUGUUCUUUGCAUAUACUUACAUCUGGUGAAAAUUUCAAGUCAACAGCAACUUUGGAAAUAUAUUUACUGAGAAAAAUGGUGAUGUGCUCAAUACUUAUUUUAACCACUGUAUAUAUAUAGUCGGAAAAGAAACUUAAUAAACAUAUAAAAUUGUAUCAGGCUUUUAGACCAAAUGCAUGUUGCCAAUUCAAUAAAUCUUGUAAUUCUUUCAUGCAACAGUGGACAGCUGAAUUGCUUGAUUUAUGGGAUUGUUUGAAUGAGAUACACAGAUAUGAAGCAGAAAAAGUCCUACCAGAAUGAAGACUUAUGUAGCACUGACAUUGGACUCAUGACCACAGUGGGCUGAACCAACGGUACAGUUGGCUGAACAACCCUUACAGCGGGCUGAACCAAUGAUACAGUGGGCUGAACAACCCUUACAGUGGGCUGAACCAAUGAUACAGUGGGCUGAACAACCCUUACAGCGGGCUGAACAAAUGAUACAGCAGGCUGAACGGAGACCCCAGUCACUGCUACUGCUGGUGUUGGUAUUUGUAUGUUCAUUUCUUCUUGUUCUACUGUAAGUGUACUAAAUGAUCUUGAUGGUUUUCUUUUUCGUUUCGUGCUCAGCUGAGAUGCUCCUCGCUGGACACUGGUUCCUCUGCAGUGAGUCUUGUGCUUGUAUGAAUUUUGUCUUCUGAUGGAGAUGUAUAGAUGCAGG